GGGCCGGUAGAUCAGUGGGAGAUCGCCCGCCUUGCAAAAGGGUGGCCGAUAAGGUUCAAAUCCCGCCCGGUCCA
RNAcentral lists this transfer RNA (74 nucleotides) under Nitrososphaeria archaeon. Its description in RNAcentral is "tRNA-Ala". It matches the Rfam family "tRNA". From Rfam's summary of the family: Transfer RNA (tRNA) molecules are approximately 80 nucleotides in length. The record is from RNAcentral. Lineage: Archaea; Thermoproteati; Nitrososphaerota; Nitrososphaeria.